This 67-nucleotide transfer RNA is filed under the name Enchiridium sp. MTA_2015. RNAcentral's name for it is "tRNA-Glu". Lineage: Eukaryota; Metazoa; Platyhelminthes; Polycladida; Prosthiostomidae. The record is from RNAcentral.
AUUAGGAUCAUCCAGGAGGAGAUUAUCCUUUCUAGAUAAUUUUAGUACGAUAGAGUACAUCCUAAGU